UGGGGAAUAUUGGACAAUGGGCGAAAGCCUGAUCCAGCCAUGCCGCGUGUGUGAAGAAGGUCUUCGGAUUGUAAAGCACUUUAAGUUGGGAGGAAGGGCAUUAACCUAAUACGUUAGUGUUUUGACGUUACCGACAGAAUAAGCACCGGCUAACUCUGUGCCAGCAGCCGCGGUAAUACAGAGGGUGCAAGCGUUAAUCGGAAUUACUGGGCGUAAAGCGCGCGUAGGUUGGUUGUUAAGUUGGAUGUGAAAUCCCCGGGCUCAACCUGGGAACUGCAUUCAAAACUGACUGACUAGAGUAUGGUAGAGGGUGGUGGAAUUUCCUGUGUAGCGGUGAAAUGCGUAGAUAUAGGAAGGAACACCAGUGGCGAAGGCGACCACCUGGACUAAUACUGACACUGAGGUGCGAAAGCGUGGGGAGCAAACA
This 427-nucleotide ribosomal RNA is filed under the name uncultured bacterium. RNAcentral's name for it is "partial 16S ribosomal RNA". It matches the Rfam family "Bacterial small subunit ribosomal RNA", at positions 355 to 774 of the family's 1533-position model. The record is from RNAcentral.